This is an RNA transcript of Populus trichocarpa (black cottonwood), 1028 nucleotides long. RefSeq lists it as uncharacterized. The record is from RefSeq and is a predicted model, not a curated record. Lineage: Eukaryota; Viridiplantae; Streptophyta; Magnoliopsida; Malpighiales; Salicaceae. The transcript is spliced from 8 exons.
AAAAAAGUGGAGACACAAAUCCAAAGAGCAGCGUUGUGGCAAUCAAAGAACCUCUCCUUCCAUUCCAUAUAUUAUCCGUCUGGUAGGAAUCCAAAAUAAAUCCACCACACAACACCCUCUUUCUUUUUUCUUUUAUAACUCUUCAAAUAUCUAACCAGACUGAAUUUCAUUGUUUUUGAGAAGAUCCCAUCAACAUCCUCCGUUUUUUUUUUUUUUAUGUUUUAUGAGAUGAAGUAUGCGCAAAAUCCUCUCCACAACAGAACCAUCACCAUAGCAUAUGGAAGGCAAUGAAAACACCACUCAAAAGGAUUACUACAAAAUUUUGGAGGUUGAUUAUGAUGCAACAGAUGAGAAGAUAAGACUAAAUUACCGAAGGCUUGCAUUGAAGUGGCAUCCUGAUAAGCACAAGGGGGAUAAUGCAGUUACUACCAAAUUUCAAGAGAUUAACGAAGCUUACAAUGUAUUGAGGGAUCCAGAUAAACGCUUCGAUUAUGACUUAACUGGAAUAUAUGAGAUUGAUAAGUAUACUUUGCGGGAAUAUCUGACCAGAUUUAAAGGAAUGAUACUUACGUGCAAUGGUCUUGGUAUUGGUAAUACAUCAAUAUGAUGGGAUGUCAAUGGAGUUCUCCUGUCAUAUGGAACUGUAAUUAGAAGGAUGCCUAUAUGGUUUAUGGUGAAUUUACUGGAAUUGAAAUUGCGGGGAUGUAUGAAUGAUCUUAUAGGACCCAGCAACUGACUGAAAUCAAAGAGUUUGCAGAGAAAUAAGGAGCAAAUCCAGUAUUUAACCUUUCAGGGAUGAAAACAUGGAUACCAUUGUGUGAAAACAACAUGGGAACAGCUUCGCCAUAAAUGAAGGUGGAGGAGCUACUUGCCAUGUUACAUCGAGGAUGAAAACUUGAAUCCAAAUUAUUGCCAGCAUUCUUGUAUCUUGUUUAUCUUUAUCAUACAUUUCAUGCACAACCAAGUAUGUCAUUAGCCUAUUGAUUUUGUUUUCAAAUGAGCACAAAGUCACUACUCUUUUUUGUUCU